GUGGCUGAACGGUCAUCCCGAGAGCUGAAAAGCGGAAGGUCGCCGGUUCGACCCCGGCCCUGGCCA
Molecule: transfer RNA, 66 nt
Filed under: Saccharomonospora amisosensis
Lineage: Bacteria; Bacillati; Actinomycetota; Actinomycetes; Pseudonocardiales; Pseudonocardiaceae
Description: tRNA-OTHER
Source: RNAcentral